UGCCAGCAGCCGCGGUAAUACGGAGGGUGCGAGCGUUAAUCGGAAUUACUGGGCGUAAAGCGCGCGUAGGCGGCUUUGUAAGUCGGAUGUGAAAUCCCCGGGCUUAACCUGGGAACUGCAUUCGAUACUGCAGAACUAGAGUAUGGUAGAGGGAAGUGGAAUUUCCGGUGUAGCGGUGAAAUGCGUAGAUAUCGGAAGGAACACCAGUGGCGAAGGCGGCUUUCUGGACCGAUACUGACGCUGAGACGUGAAAGCGUGGGGAGCAAACAGGAUUAGAUA
This 279-nucleotide ribosomal RNA is filed under the name uncultured bacterium. RNAcentral describes it as "partial 16S ribosomal RNA". It matches the Rfam family "Bacterial small subunit ribosomal RNA", at positions 506 to 784 of the family's 1533-position model. The record is from RNAcentral.